GGCUUUGACUUCCUGCUCAGCUGGUCGCCCGGGAAACGGUCGGCUUCCGGUCGCGAAGCGGUGGGCGGAGCCAAGAUGGCUGAAGUGAAGCUUGGGAUGAAAACUCAGGUUCCUGCAUCUGUUGAAUCUCAAAAACCUAGGUCAAAAAAAGCUCCAGACUUCCCUAUUGUGGAGAAACAGAACUGGCUGAUCCAUCUCCACUAUAUCCGGAAGGAUUAUGAAGCUUGCAAGCUAUUCUUCUCUUUUAGGCUGUGAUCAAAGAACAGCUUCAGGAGACUCAGGGGCUAUGUGAAUAUGCUAUCUAUGUCCAAGCACUGAUUUUUCGCCUGGAAGGAAAUAUCCAAGAAUCCCUAGAACUCUUUCAGACAUGUGCUGUUCUCAGCCCACAGUGUGCUGAUAAUCUCAAGCAGGUGGCCAGAUCUUUGUUUCUUCUGGGAAAACACAAAGCUGCCACUGAAGUAUAUAAUGAAGCAGCUAAACUUAACCAGAAAGACUGGGAGAUCUGCCAUAACCUGGGAGUGUGCUACACUUACCUGAAGCAGUUCAACAAGGCACAAGACCAACUGCACAGUGCCCUCCAGCUUAACAAGCAUGACCUGACUUACAUAAUGUUGGGGAAGAUCCAUUUACUGCAGGGAGACCUGGAUAAAGCCAUCGAGAUCUACAAGAAAGCAGUAGAGUUCUCACCAGAAAAUACUGAACUUCUUACAACUUUAGGAUUGCUCUACUUGCAGCUUGGUGUGUACCAGAAGGCAUUUGAACAUCUUGGGAAUGCACUGACCUACGACCCUGCCAACUACAAGGCCAUCUUGGCAGCAGGCAGCAUGAUGCAGACUCAUGGGGACUUUGAUGUCGCCCUUACCAAAUACAGAGUUGUAGCCUGUGCUAUUCCAGAAAGUCCUCCACUUUGGAAUAACAUUGGAAUGUGUUUCUUUGGCAAGAAGAAAUAUGUGGCAGCUAUCAGCUGCCUAAAACGAGCCAACUACUUGGCACCCUUCGACUGGAAGAUUCUGUACAACCUGGGCCUUGUCCAUUUGACUAUGCAGCAGUAUGCAUCAGCAUUCCAUUUUCUCAGUGCAGCCAUCAACUUCCAGCCAAAGAUGGGGGAACUCUACAUGCUCUUGGCUGUGGCUCUGACCAACCUGGAAGAUAUAGAGAAUGCCAGAAGAGCUUAUGUAGAAGCUGUUCGCCUGGAUAAGUGUAACCCUUUAGUAAACCUGAACUAUGCUGUGCUGCUGUAUAACCAGGGUGAGAAGAAGAGCGCCCUGGCUCAGUACCAGGAGAUGGAGAAGAAGGUCAACUUUCUCAAGGACAACAGCCCUCUGGAAUUUGACUCUGAGAUGGUAGAGAUGGCUCAGAAGUUGGGAGCUGCCCUUCAGGUGGGAGAGGCACUGGUCUGGACCAAACCAGUCAAAGAUCCCAAGACAAAGCACCGGACCAAUUCAGGCAGCAAAUCUGCUACUCUCCAGCAGCCUCUGGGUUCCAUUCAAGCUCUAGGACAGGCGAUGUCUUCAGCAGCUGCAUACAGAAAGAUCCUUUCAGGUGCUGUAGGAGCCCAGCUCCCAAAGCCACCAUCACUGCCACUGGAGCCAGAGCCAGAGCCCACUGUGGAAGCAAGUCCAACAGAAGCAUCAGAACAAAAGAAAGAAAAAUAGCAACAAACAGGAAAAACCGAGGAUGACCCUGGAGUAGGGGGUCUCUUAAGUGAGACCAUAUAGAAGGUGGUCAUAUGACCAGGCAGAUGGAGGCUAACACUUCGUCCCUGGGUGGGCACUGCAGAAUUAAAACAGAACCCAGGGUGUGUUGUGAUGAUCAGAAGGAGCCUAAGGCCUAUGCAGCUCUUGGCUGGCCCCAUCAUCCAGGAACAAGGGCGAAGGCAUGCUACAUAGACGUGAGGCCUCGCAUGUAUACUCCAAGAGUUAGCAAGGCAAACGAUGAAAGCCCGUUACUCAGUGAAGGACUUUUAUCUUGAUAAAGGGAAGAGGACCUCUACUCAGUAGGCUGUGGUAAUGAAGCCUCAUUUUAACUGACUGUGGGAAGAUAGAAGUCUCCACUGGAAACACAAACCUUGUAUUAAGAACCUAGUUAAAGAGGGCUUCCCUAACUACCACUACCACCACUCCUUUUAGAUUAAGUUGAGACCUAGAUGGAAUGAAUCCAGCUAUAUUUGCCCAAAGAGACUCUAAAACAAGUCCUUAUCUCCAUUCUUAAGAGAGGUCAGAGUUUAGAGCCAGAUCAUGUCAGUUUAAGUAGUAGAGUCAAGGGCUGGUCUGGAAUCGGCACCAAGAACUUAAAGGGGAAAAGUGGGUAGGUGACUGAGGACAUAGCUCAGUAUUAGAGCACUUGCUUAGCAUACACAGGCCCUGGGUUUAAUCCCCAGUACUGCUGAAAAAGAACAGCUUUUUUAGAUAAGGAAUUUUAGCCAAGACAAUCAAUGAUGAAUGCUGACAAACGCUCUCACAACCCAUUAGCAGCCUUUGUAAAAGAUUAUGGAUAUCCAAGAGGUCAUAUUAAAAGAUUUUUAAAAAAAUAAAACUAUGAUCACUGUCUGUCUUUACC
Mus musculus (house mouse) is the source of this 2559-nucleotide RNA transcript. It is a transcript of the gene named Bardet-Biedl syndrome 4, with no coding region annotated. Lineage: Eukaryota; Metazoa; Chordata; Mammalia; Rodentia; Muridae. The record is from RefSeq and is marked validated. The transcript has 16 exons.